CAGCUCCCUUGAUCGGUAGCCUACAUCUCCACCAGUCGGCGUCCUCCAUGUUCAAGUAUUAGUCUCCUUCCCAUCUGUGACCGCCUGAACUCGAAAAGAAACCCACAUAUCUCUUUCGUGUAUGGAUUUUUCCCUAGCCACCGUCUCCCUCAUGCUCUUGUGAACUCUGAAUGGAUGAAGCAUCGAUCUCCGACCGGCACCCUGACACCAUCUACAGUGUUUCCACCGACUUCUCCGCCUCCGACUACAACACACACAUCUCAGCCUCUCCGGAUACAACGCACCGGCUUCGUUUUUUUGCGUCUGAUCAUCGAUUUCCAGAAAAUGUAAAACGAAUUUUAUCAUCGAUUUAGUUUUCUUAAUCAAUCGAUUUUUUUUCUUUCAUCUGUAAAUCAUCUGUUAAUUUCAAAAUCAGUUCCAGUUUGUUCUUGAUUUACAAAUUGAUCAAAUUGGUUGAAGGUUUGGAGAUGGUGUUUGAGACUAGAGGGGAAGAAGAGAUUCUGCUUGUUGUGCAAGCCAUUAUUUGCAUUCGAUUAUUCUCAAUUUCAAAAUUAACCACCUGCAUCUCCCUCUUUACAUCAGUUCAACACAAUCGUACAAUGUUGCCUGAAGCCACCGAUGCCGCCUGAAGCCACCACCAUCCACACUUCUCCCUCCUCCCUCGUACCCCGGAUCCACCCUCGUUUGCAUUCUCGCUCUCUCUCUCACAUCGUAUAACUGGAGUAAAUUGGGAACUUAAAAUCUGAUAUGCAUUAUUUUCUCAGAUUCACAUUUGAGAUAGGCGGGGCCUGCCGAAGAUCUCAUCACGAUUGCAGGAGAUUAAAACUUCUUACGAGACUAACAUCAACAAACAAUUAUCAGAAGUGCAUACCAACAAUAACAUAAGUGUUUGAUUCCAUUUUGCCUAGUGAGAUCAAAGAGGAUGUGUUCUUGUUGACCGGAUUAAAGCCUCUCGGAGGCCAAAAUAGACCAAGGGCCAUUCAGAGACAACAUGAUGUGGUUAUUGGUGAUGGUUGUAGGACAGUAGGAGAUUAAUGAUGUUGGAGGUUAACGAGAAGGUAGAGGAAAACGAAAGGGUAUGGGUGAGUGGGGUUGGUUGUUGGUGUUUAUCCAUCAUCAACCCUAAGAGGAGUUCAAAGGCAUUCGAGACAUCAUCAUCAUCAUUGAACAACCCAAGAGCAUCCCCUCUCAAACGAAAUCCAACCUAAUCAUUCCAUUCAACAAACAACUUAUAACCAAUACCAUAAAUUAUUUUUACAUGGAGAUUAUUUAAUAGGUUUGAUGUUAUGGGAAUGGUGGCAAAUUACUUAAUCCUUGAUUGACCAGGAGUGAAGACGACUUGAGGUCUUGACUACUUUACACCCCACCCAGUGAUUCAAGGUUUUACUUGGAAUGUUUUUUUUUUUCUGUAUUUAGACAGUCACUGUUGUGAAACAUUAUUCCAUGUUUUGGUUUGUAUUAAAACUGAAAUUCGUUA
Lactuca sativa (garden lettuce) is the source of this 1477-nucleotide non-coding RNA. The record is from RefSeq and is a predicted model, not a curated record. Lineage: Eukaryota; Viridiplantae; Streptophyta; Magnoliopsida; Asterales; Asteraceae.